RNAcentral lists this ribosomal RNA (498 nucleotides) under uncultured bacterium. Its description in RNAcentral is "partial 16S ribosomal RNA". It matches the Rfam family "Bacterial small subunit ribosomal RNA", at positions 30 to 523 of the family's 1533-position model. The record is from RNAcentral.
AUUGAACGCUGGCGGCAUGCCUUACACAUGCAAGUCGAACGGCAGCGGACCUUCGGGUGCCGGCGAGUGGCGAACGGGUGAGUAAUGUAUCGGAACGUACCAUUGAGUGGGGGAUAACGUAGCGAAAGUUACGCUAAUACCGCAUAUUCUCUCCGGAGGAAAGCAGGGGACCGCAAGGCCUUGCGCUCUUUGAGCGGCCGAUAUCAGAUUAGCUAGUUGGUGAGGUAAAGGCUCACCAAGGCGACGAUCUGUAGCGGGUCUGAGAGGAUGAUCCGCCACACUGGACAUGAGACACGGGCCAGACUCCUACGGGAGGCAGCAGUGGGGAAUUUUGGACAAUGGGGGCAACCCUGAUCCAGCCAUGCCGCGUGAGUGAAGAAGGCCUUCGGGUUGUAAAGCUCUUUCGGCCGGGAAAAAAUCGCAUGGGCUAAUACCCUGUGUGGAUGAUGGUACCGGAAUAAGAAGCACCGGCUAACUACGUGCCAGCCGCCGCCGUAA